AACGAACGCUGGCGGCAUGCCUAACACAUGCAAGUCGAGCGAGACCUUCGGGUCUAGUGGCGCACGGGUGCGUAACGCGUGGGAACCUGCCCUUAGGUUCGGAAUAACUCCCCGAAAGGGGUGCUAAUACCGGAUAAUGUCUUCGGACCAAAGAUUUAUCGCCUUUGGAUGGGCCCGCGUUGGAUUAGCUAGUUGGUAGGGUAAAAGCCUACCAAGGCGACGAUCCAUAGCUGGUCUGAGAGGAUGAUCAGCCACACUGGGACUGAGACACGGCCCAGACUCCUACGGGAGGCAGCAGUGGGGAAUAUUGGACAAUGGGCGAAAGCCUGAUCCAGCAAUGCCGCGUGAGUGAUGAAGGCCUUAGGGUUGUAAAGCUCUUUUACCCGGGAUGAUAAUGACAGUACCGGGAGAAUAAGCUCCGGCUAACUCCGU
Molecule: ribosomal RNA, 432 nt
Filed under: uncultured bacterium
Lineage: Bacteria
Description: partial 16S ribosomal RNA
Rfam family: Bacterial small subunit ribosomal RNA
Source: RNAcentral